This 867-nucleotide ribosomal RNA is filed under the name uncultured bacterium. RNAcentral's name for it is "bacterial SSU rRNA". It matches the Rfam family "Bacterial small subunit ribosomal RNA", at positions 56 to 913 of the family's 1533-position model. The record is from RNAcentral.
UGCAAGUCGAGGGGCAGCAUGGUCUUAGCUUGCUAAGGCUGAUGGCGACCGGCGCACGGGUGAGUAACACGUAUCCAACCUGCCGUCUACUCUUGGCCAGCCUUCUGAAAGGAAGAUUAAUUCAGGAUGGGAUCAUGAGUUCACAUGUCCGCAUGAUUAAAGGUAUUUUCCGGUAGACGAUGGGGAUGCGUUCCAUUAGAUAGUAGGCGGGGUAACGGCCCACCUAGUCAACGAUGGAUAGGGGUUCUGAGAGGAAGGUCCCCCACAUUGGAACUGAGACACGGUCCAAACUCCUACGGGAGGCAGCAGUGAGGAAUAUUGGUCAAUGGGCGAUGGCCUGAACCAGCCAAGUAGCGUGAAGGAUGACUGCCCUAUGGGUUGUAAACUUCUUUUAUAAAGGAAUAAAGUCGGGUAUGCAUACCCGUUUGCAUGUACUUUAUGAAUAAGGAUCGGCUAACUCCGUGCCAGCAGCCGCGGUAAUACGGAGGAUCCGAGCGUUAUCCGGAUUUAUUGGGUUUAAAGGGAGCGUAGAUGGAUGUUUAAGUCAGUUGUGAAAGUUUGCGGCUCAACCGUAAAAUUGCAGUUGAUACUGGAUGUCUUGAGUGCAGUUGAGGCAGGCGGAAUUCGUGGUGUAGCGGUGAAAUGCUUAGAUAUCACGAAGAACUCCGAUUGCGAAGGCAGCCUGCUAAGCUGCAACUGACAUUGAGGCUCGAAAGUGUGGGUAUCAAACAGGAUUAGAUACCCUGGUAGUCCACACGGUAAACGAUGAAUACUCGCUGUUUGCGAUAUACGGCAAGCGGCCAAGCGAAAGCGUUAAGUAUUCCACCUGGGGAGUACGCCGGCAACGGUGAAACUCAAAGGAAUUGG